Molecule: ribosomal RNA, 347 nt
Filed under: uncultured bacterium
Lineage: Bacteria
Description: bacterial SSU rRNA
Rfam family: Bacterial small subunit ribosomal RNA
Source: RNAcentral
AGAGUUUGAUCAUGGCUCAGGAUGAACGCUGGCGGCGUGCCUAACACAUGCAAGUCGAACGGACUUACAUUGAAGCCUAGCGAUAUGUAAGUUAGUGGCGGACGGGUGAGUAACGCGUGGGUAACCUGCCUUGUACUGGGGGACAACAGUUGGAAACGACUGCUAAUACCGCAUAAGCGCACAGCUUCGCAUGAAGCAGUGUGAAAAACUCCGGUGGUACAAGAUGGACCCGNGUCUGAUUAGCUGGUUGGUGAGGUAACGGCCCACCAAGGCGACGAUCAGUAGCGGCCUGAGAGGGUGAACGGCACAUUGGGACUGAGACACGGCCCAAACUCCUACGGGAGGCA